This 423-nucleotide ribosomal RNA is filed under the name uncultured prokaryote. Its description in RNAcentral is "bacterial SSU rRNA". It matches the Rfam family "Bacterial small subunit ribosomal RNA", at positions 355 to 774 of the family's 1533-position model. The record is from RNAcentral.
UCUUGAAUCUUCGGCAAUGUACGGAAGUAUGACCGAGCGACGCCGCGUGGAGGCUAAGGCCUUUUGGUUGUAAACUCCUGUCAGGAUCUAGGAAUGCCUCAAGGCAAACAGUUUUGGGGUUGACCAGGUCCAAAGGAAGCCACAGCUAACUUCGUGCCAGCAGCUGCGGUAAUACGAAGGUGGCAAGCGUUAUUCGGAUUGACUGGGCUUAAAGGGCGCGUAGGUGGCUUGGUAAGUCGGGUGUGAAAUCCCCGGGCUCAACUCGGGAAUUGCGCUUGAUACUUCCAAGCUAGAGUAAGGUAGGGGGUCGAGGAACUCACGGUGGAGCGGUGAAAUGCGUAGAGAUCGUGGGGAACACCGGAGGCGAAGGCGUCGACCUGGGCCUUUACUGACACUGAGGCGCGAAAGCGUGGGGAGCAAACA